CUGGCUAGAGGGACGGAAUAUGCUGUAGACUUAAGUUAAGCAAGACCUCUUCCUGGAACUGGGAGAAGGUCAUUUCAGCCUUAGCCACCUGGCUUGAAAGUCCAAGGUCCUGUAGGAAUGGAGAAUGGAGGCUGACAUGGCACACCUAUUCGCCGAGGCAUCACCUGGAUCCUACAGAGUCAGCCUUGGCCAUCAGUGAUGGUGAAAGCAACAGAUGUCAGAUGUCAGCCCCUGGCUUCCUGCCUUACCGUAGAGGGAUACUCGACAGACAGACUGGACAGAUCACUCAUGCUGGGGAAAGCCAGGUGUCAUGUCUUGGGGAAUCCAGGUGUUAUGUCUUAAGGACAGGCUGGCAGACCUGUGCAUACGCCCAUGUAGCGAGAAACUAGACCCUCAGCUCAAGACACUGAAAGAAACCUCAUGAAACAACUUGAAGCUCUGACCCUGAACCACCUAGCUAAACUGCUCUUAGAUACCUGAUUCUCAGAUACUAUUGAGAAAAUAAACAAUAAUUAUUUUAUGUUGCUACAUUUUGGGAGUAAUUUGUUACAUGAUAAUAGCUACACGUUGAAGAGCAAAUUAUUCACGCUCUGUUUUUCAGUUUCCUCAUCUGCACAAUGGAGUACCGAUUUUAUGAUGUGGUUGUGAGGAUUUAAGAGAUCAUCCACAGAGAAGUGCAACAGAGUACAGGGUCAGAAGUCAGCACCCC
This 709-nucleotide long non-coding RNA is filed under the name Homo sapiens (human). RNAcentral describes it as "HSALNT0251371". Lineage: Eukaryota; Metazoa; Chordata; Mammalia; Primates; Hominidae. The record is from RNAcentral.